This 300-nucleotide ribosomal RNA is filed under the name uncultured Bacillus sp. RNAcentral's name for it is "bacterial SSU rRNA". The stretch from base 52 to 300 matches the Rfam family "Bacterial small subunit ribosomal RNA", at positions 547 to 795 of the family's 1533-position model. Lineage: Bacteria; Bacillati; Bacillota; Bacilli; Caryophanales; Bacillaceae. The record is from RNAcentral.
UGUAAGGUCGGGGCGGCGGGGGGGAGAAGAAGGGGGUGGUAAGCGUUGUUUGGGAUUGUUGUGCGGUAAGGGCGGGUAGGCGGGUUGUUAUGUCGGGUGUGAAAGCCCUCAGCUUAACUGAGGAAGUGCGCCCGAAACUGGCAAGCUUGAGUGCCGGAGAGGAUAGCGGAACACCCGGUGUAGAGGUGAAAUUCGUAGAUAUCGGGUAGAACACCAGUGGCGAAGGCGGCUAUCUGGACGGACACUGACGCUGAGACGCGAAAGCGUGGGGAGCAAACAGGAUUAGAUACCCUUGUAGUC